CCUACGGGAGGCAGCAGUGGGGAAUAUUGCGCAAUGGGCGAAAGCCUGACGCAGCGACGCCGCGUGAGGGAUGAAGGCCUUCGGGUUGUAAACCUCUUUCAGCAGGGACGAAGCGAAAGUGACGGUACCUGCAGAAGAAGCACCGGCCAACUACGUGCCAGCAGCCGCGGUAAUACGUAGGGUGCAAGCGUUGUCCGGAAUUAUUGGGCGUAAAGAGCUCGUAGGCGGUUUGUCGCGUCGGCUGUGAAAACUCGGGGCUCAACCCCGAGCCUGCAGUCGAUACGGGCAAACUAGAGUGUGGUAGGGGAGACUGGAAUUCCUGGUGUAGCGGUGAAAUGCGCAGAUAUCAGGAGGAACACCGGCGGCGAAGGCGGGUCUCUGGGCCAUAACUGACGCUGAGGAGCGAAAGCGUGGGGAGCGAACAGGAUUAGAUACCCUGGUAGUCCACGCCGUAAACGUUGGGCGCUAGGUGUCGGGGACCUUCCACGUCUUCGGUGCCGCAGCUACGCAUAGCGCCCGCCGUCGGGAGGUACGGCCGCGACGGACGUAAACCGUACGAAACGAGUAGUAAGGUCGUCGUUGAGUAGUUCGACGACGCGACGAGGAGGAGG
Molecule: ribosomal RNA, 611 nt
Filed under: uncultured bacterium
Lineage: Bacteria
Description: bacterial SSU rRNA
Rfam family: Bacterial small subunit ribosomal RNA (bases 1-521)
Source: RNAcentral